Long non-coding RNA from Monomorium pharaonis (pharaoh ant), 2587 nucleotides. RefSeq lists it as uncharacterized. The record is from RefSeq and is a predicted model, not a curated record. The transcript is spliced from 5 exons. Lineage: Eukaryota; Metazoa; Arthropoda; Insecta; Hymenoptera; Formicidae.
AUCAGAUGUCUUGCGAGACGUGUCAAUGCCGUCGUGCUAAUCGCACUAACUUUUAUCACAAUCACAAACGGCUCGAGUUCUAAGGGUCGAAGCACAAAACAUGGCGUAAUGAUUAAGACAGACGUAGUCGUAGUCGUAUGCAACGCACAAGCUUUGUCGUAUGAUUGUGUCGUGAUCUGUGAUUGCCUAUUCAACGGUAGGUACAUAACCUGAUCAUAUCUAUAAAUAAAUUAAGAACUAAAACAUCUAAAUAUGCUUUUUAAUUAUAUUUAGUUACAAAAAAGAAAUAAUAAUAUUAAUUAUAAUAACAUUUCUUUUACUCAAGCAAACUGAUACAAUAUAUCUGUUGGCAACUAUACUAUCAUAUUGCCAUAUAAUAAUGACGGAAAUAUUUAUUGUAUUUAACAUUAUAAUAAACAAUGAGUAGUAUUAUUUUAAUUUCAAGUUGUUCUGAAAGUAAAAUAAUAACACACUAACAUUGAAUAAUAAUAUAAGGUUUAUGAAAUUCAUUAUAUAUAAAACAACAUCUUACAUAGCAUUUUCUGGAUCAAAAACGUCUCAUGUAUAUUUUAGAAACUUUAAAAACAAGAUGUUCUUAAGAUAUCUGGGAUCAGUUAUUAUUCUCAUAGAGAUGCUUGUAUAAUAAACAAUUGUGUUUUUAGGAGAAUAUGUACGCAAUAACUAAAAUAAAAAAUACUGAUUUUUUAAUUGACGUGCUUCAUUGGAUGAGUACAUUUAUUUUGCUUAUACGAAAAAAAAACAAAUUCGAUGGUUACAUAGGCAAUGGCAUACUAGACCAAUAAAUCAAAGACGAGCUCGAUUUGGAGAUUAUAAAAAUUUAUUCCAAGAAUUAAAAAAUGAUCGAAAUCUAUUUUAUACCGCUACACUAGAAUAAUACUUAAACAAUUUACAAAAUUGGUUGAAUUAACUACGCCACAUUAAAAAAAAAAAUGUACGAGCUCUUAUUCCAGAACAUCGAUCUAUAAUAAUUUUAAGGUACCUUGCUACAGGUAAUUCACCAUUGUCAAUAGCUACAGCAUUUCGAGUUGGAGAAUCUACAGUCAAGAAGAUAAUAAAGGAAGUUUGUCUAGUACUUAUAAAUGUUUUACCACUGUAUCUUACUUUUCCUACUGAAGAAAAUUGAAAAGAAUGUGCGGAUGGAUAUUGGAAGCGAUGGAACCUUUCUAAUUGUUUUGGAUCUGUUGACGGCAAACAUAUAAGAAUGCAGUGUCCUCCAAAUUCUGGAACAUUAUUUUAUAACUAUAAAAAAUAUUAUAGCAUAGUUUUAAUGGCAGUAGCAGAUCAUUUAUAUAGAUUUACAUUAGUUGAUAUAGGAGCUUAUGGAGGUAAUCUUAUAAGAUAUAAAUAUUUAAGGGGUUAUACUACUCAGCAAAAAAAUUUUUUUCCGUUUUUUUUUAUUGGCUUAAAUGAUGCAUAAACUAUCUAAAAAUGAUAUUCCAGCAAAUUAUAAGUAAAAAAAAAUUUUUACAGCUUAUUUUCUGAGGCGCCUCCGAGCGCUUUGGAAUGUUAGAAAAUGCCACUCUGUCACGCGCAGCAUUUUGGAGCGUUGUAGUCAAGUCGGUAUUUAUAUCGGUAGAAAUAAAAGUCAUACUUUCUCAAAUUAAGUGUUAAUUAAAUGCGAAUGAAAGUUUAAACGCCGUCGUUUGGAUAGUAGCGCCGAAAUCGGUAUCAAGUGGCAAAACCGUUAUUGAUAUAGCGACUAAUGUUGCUGCAAUCACUUAUAAUGAUGGUUUUCAAGGAUUACUUGCUAUAAUGAGUACACUUGAACAACUGAAGAUUAGCUACGAAUUUUAUAAUUAUUGUAUGGAAAUCGAUGAACGUUCAAGCUGCAAACCGCUCAGCAUCAAUAAACAGAAAAACGCGCGGAAGGACCUUAUAUCGCUUAGAAAGGAGGCUGAAGAGCAAUAUUUAGGUUUGGAAGGAAUGUUUUACGGUCCUGGGAUAGCAGAGUGAAGGAGACAGUGAUGGAAGAAUUUUUAAUGAUUCUCAGAUAGGAAUUAAACUAAGUAAUGAGCAAUUAAAUUUGUCAAAAGGAACUGUUAAUCCUCCUGACAGCAAUUUGAAGACAUUCGAAUAUUUUGUUGCUGAUGAUGCCUUCAGACUUUCAAAUAGAAUAAUGAAACCUUAUUCAGGAAAAAAUUUGAGUGACAAACAAAAAAUUUGUAAUUACAGAUUUUCUAGAGCACGUAGAACUGUUGAAAGCGCCUUUAGAAUCUUUGCCAAUAAAUAGAGAAUAUUUCACACAGCCAUGUGUAUACUAUCUGAAACCGCUAAUGUUGUUGUUAUAGCUUCUGUCUGUUUGCAUAAUUAUGUGCUAAAGGAAGAACAACGCAGUGGAUAUAAAUUUUAUAGUAAUGAAAUAACUUCAAAUAAUAUUAUAAAUGAGGGUGCAACUUAGUUUUCACUACCAAAUGUUGAAGAAUGUAGUGAUAAUGUCCAAGAUGCUCAAGCUCAACGAAAUACAUUAUGAGAAUAUUUUGUUUCUCCAACGGGAGAAUUGGAGUGGCAAUAUGAUUUUGUCCAUAGAGGUGUACAUGCAGAUAAAUAAAAUAUAUAAAAAUAUGAA